UUUUAUGUUAUCACAGUAAAAAAAGUUUAUUUUAAAAGGCGGGAUGGGUUAGGAAAAGUGAGGUGAGGAGGGAGAAAUUCCAGCUCCCAAAGGAGCCCCUCUCACAGUGGGUCCAUCAUAUUCAACAUGGUGUUGUCUGCCAUUGAUUCAACAAACUCCGCUUGAGUUACAGUGUGUGCAAGAACUUAGUCCAUAAAACUCUAUACACAUGGGAUAUUGUUGGUAUGUGUGGCUGUCUGAGGCAGCACAGCGUAGUGAAAAGAGAAUGGGUGUCCUUCUUUCAUUCCACCAAUGUUUAAUGAUUGCCCAUCGUAGGUAGCACUCUGCCACGUGCUGUAGGGACAAGUCAAGAAAGAUGAAGUCUCUGCUCUCACACUCUAGCAAGUGGCAGACGUGCUAAGAAUGCAAUAGAGUGUUACGUUUGCUAUUCCAUGGUCUACUUCUGAGAGUCCAUUGUGAGCAUCUCCUCCCGUCUUUGGCUUUGAAGUGACCUUGAAAAUGGAAGCUAUUUGCCAGGAUGGUAGAAUGGAGUGAUACAAGGAGCCUGGGUCCGUGACAUUGGUGGAGUAGCAUUCCUGCCCUCUACUGCCUAUCUCUGGACCACUUUUAUGUGAGGGAAAAACAAAAUUCUCUCUUGUUUAAGGCUCUGUUAUUUCGGAUUUUCUGUUCUCUGCAGCUAAAUCUAACGAACCUUGAUGGAUAUUGCUGGAUGGAGCUGUGGGAGACAUCAGCGGACAGCAGCUACCUCUUAUGGAGCACUUGUGAUGGGCUCACGCGGUUAACGCAUGUACAUGGUUUCAGUCUUCUGACUUGACUUAGCAGCAUUUGACUCUGUUGACCAUCCCCUUCUUCUUAAAACUGGCCCCCGGCUUCUGUGACCUCACAUUAUCCUGGUGUUUGUGGGAUCUCUUUUGAUCAUCAGGUGACAGAAAUCUUGACUUAUACUGGCUUAAACAACAACAAAAGGGUAUGUUGUCUCAAGUAACUCAACAGUAAUCCAGGGGUAGAUGUCUGGAUCCAGUUGAAUAGAGGGGUUCAAACAACAGUAUUAAGACAGGAGUAACAUUCAAAAUAUUUAACAACUGAUGUUACACUGUCACUGACUCAUUAGAACAGAUGUCCGAGGGGGUGACCUGGAAGUCCCCUACUGGUCCUGGCAUUAACUCUUUAGUUACUGGAUGAUGGGGAAGUCCAGGGAGUCCAGAAAAAGGGUGGCUGGGAGGCAGUGGGGGAAUGACUCCUAUUCCCAGGCAGUUUAGGCAGUAUUUACUUACCAACAGAAAUAUUUCAACAACAAUCAGCCAUUCCGGUGUGUACCAGCUGAAUAACAGUCCUGUGUUAGGAUCUGGUCACUCUAUUUUUCCAUCUCUCAGUUGUGCUCUUCCAUGUUGACUCUAUCCUCACUCUCUCCCAUGGUUGCAAGAUGGCUGCCAGGGGCUACCGGGGCUACAUGCUUCCUCGUUCAUAUCUAGCAGAGGAGUGAGGCUCUUUUCCCCAGUAGCCCUAGCAUAAGUCCUGAGAUUUGCUCUGAUUGGGCUGGCUGAGAUCAUAUGCCCAAUCCUGAUUGAUCAAUGUGGCUGGGGGGUAGAGCGGGGAGCCUGGCUUAGGCUAGAUCACAUACCCCACCCCUGAGCCCCAGGUUAGAGUUAGCCCCAUUGGAGUAUAUAGGCUUAGGGUGGGGUUGGUUUCCCCAGAGCCAAAUUGGGGUACCGUUCUCAAAAGAAGAGGGGGUAUGCAUUAGUUUCCUAUUGCUGCUACAACAAAUUACCACAAACAUAGUGAUUUAAAAUAACCCAAUUUAUUCUCUUAUAGUUCUGGAGGUCAGAAGUCUGAAAUGGGUUUUAUGGAGCUAAAAUCAAGAUGUUGACAGAAAUGUGUUCCUUCUGGCUGUUCCAGGAGAGAAUCCAUUCCCUUGCUUCUCCCAGCUUCUAGAAGCUGCCCACAUUCUUUGGCUCAUGGUCACAUCAUUCCAACUUCCAAUUCUGUUGUUACAUCUCUUUCUCUAACUCUGACUCCCAUUCCUCCCUCUUAUAAGAACCGUUAUGAUUAUCUUGGGCCUGCUUGAAUAAUCCAGAAUAAUCUCCUCAUUUCAAGAUCCUUGACUUAAUCAUAUCCGCAAAGUUCCUUUUACUAUAUAAGGAAGUCUUCCCUGGUUCAUACUCCCAGGCUGGACCAAGUGCUCCGCCAUGGUGCCUGCUGGAUGUCUUCUCUAUCACAAUAGCAAAGCUUCUCUCUGCCUUGGCCCCUCAGCCUUUGCUCAGUCCUCCCAGUGGAUGGAUCUUUGACAAUUGCACCCAAAAGAAUUCUGACCAGUACACAGGUUCACCAUAAUAUGUAAACAGAGUGACUUGGUCUAUGGUGGCCUGAAGACAAGCCAACAAGCUUUGGAUAGCAGAGCAACGAGAGGCAAAGAACUUGAGCCCUUGAUGACACCAUUAAGCUGCUGAAUUAACGAACCCUGGAGCCCAUCUCAAUUAGGACUUCUUGUUAUGUGAAAUAAUAAAAUUUCCCUAUUGGUUAAGUAAAUUUGAAUUGUUUUUUUUAUUAAAUGUAGCUAAAACCAUCCUUAACUUGAUCUCCAGCCCUCUCCGCCUCCUUCCUGUGAUCUUGGCAGGGAUAGCGUGGAGGUGGGGUGACAUACCUCUGGCUAGCCUAAGGAAUGGUUUGCUUCUCACAGUUACUCUUACUCCUUGGAUGCUAUUUUUUCUUGCAGGCCCCCUUAGCCCCUUCUGGACACAUUCCUGAUUCCUUCACUCCUCCAAGUAUCUCUAAUACUUACCAGAUUCUACUGAGGUUUUGGGGAAACAGGGAGAAGUUCAGCACAGUAUAGGCACCAACUCAAAAUGAUCACUGUCCUAAAAUUUCAUGGGCCAUUCCAUUACUGCCAAGAAGAACUUCUUUCUAGCUAUAUCCGUCCUUGGGAAUGAGCUUGCUGUCUUCUCCUCCAGCCUCUCUCCAGCUCCGUUCUAGUUUCUAGCCGUCUACUCCAAAACUUUUCUUACUCUACAAUACAAAGUAUAAACUUCAGGCUGAAGCUGACCCACUGAACACUCAUUAAAGUGCCGCUGGAAACAAAGGAACAAGUACACCUGAGAAUGACAGGGUUUUUUUUUUCUUUAACAAAAUUAAAUUCUUAGGCUGGGCUCCCUUUCCCAUCAGUUUUUGGGAAGCUAAAGAGAAUACUAUAACAAAUACUUCUCCUUCUGUCCCAAGCAAGCUCCCAGGGAUUACGGGAUCCCUCGCUCCCCACCCCCUCUACCUACACAUUUACUAGUUGCCCCUGAAUAAAUAUAUAUUUUUUAAUAACAAUUUUAUUUGAGAUAUAAUUCACAUCACAAAACUCACCAUUUUAAAUCAUACAGUUCAGUGAGUUUUAGUACAUUCAUUCAAAAGGUUGUGCAACCAUUGCUACUAUGGAAUUUCAGAACAUUUU
Molecule: long non-coding RNA, 3433 nt
Organism: Equus caballus (horse)
Lineage: Eukaryota; Metazoa; Chordata; Mammalia; Perissodactyla; Equidae
Source: RefSeq, a predicted model, not a curated record